AUUGAACGCUGGCGGCAGGCCUAACACAUGCAAGUCGAACGGUAACAGGAAACAGCUUGCUGUUUCGCUGACGAGUGGCGGACGGGUGAGUAAUGUCUGGGAAACUGCCUGAUGGAGGGGGAUAACUACUGGAAACGGUAGCUAAUACCGCAUAACGUCGCAAGACCAAAGAGGGGGACCUUCGGGCCUCUUGCCAUCGGAUGUGCCCAGAUGGGAUUAGCUAGUAGGUGGGGUAACGGCUCACCUAGGCGACGAUCCCUAGCUGGUCUGAGAGGAUGACCAGCCACACUGGAACUGAGACACGGUCCAGACUCCUACGGGAGGCAGCAGUGGGGAAUAUUGCACAAUGGGCGCAAGCCUGAUGCAGCCAUGCCGCGUGUAUGAAGAAGGCCUUCGGGUUGUAAAGUACUUUCAACGGGGAUGAAGGGAGUAAAGUUAAUACCUUUGCUCAUUGACGUUACCCGCAGAAGAAGCACCGGCUAACUCCGUG
Molecule: ribosomal RNA, 490 nt
Filed under: uncultured bacterium
Lineage: Bacteria
Description: partial 16S ribosomal RNA
Rfam family: Bacterial small subunit ribosomal RNA
Source: RNAcentral